GAUCCAGACUUUGAUCAUGGCUCAGGAUGAACGCUAGCUACAGGCUUAACACAUGCAAGUCGAGGGGCAGCAUGGUCUUAGCUUGCUAAGGCCGAUGGCGACCGGCGCACGGGUGAGUAACACGUAUCCAACCUGCCGUCUACUCUUGGACAGCCUUCUGAAAGGAAGAUUAAUACAAGAUGGCAUCAUGAGUCCACAUGUUCACAUGAUUAAAGGUAUUCCGGUAGACGAUGGGGAUGCGUUCCAUUAGAUAGUAGGCGGGGUAACGGCCCACCUAGUCUUCGAUGGAUAGGGGUUCUGAGAGGAAGGUCCCCCACAUUGGAACUGAGACACGGUCCAAACUCCUACGGGAGGCAGCGGUGAGGAAUAUUGGUCAAUGGGCGAGAGCCUGAACCAGCCAAGUAGCGUGAAGGAUGACUGCCCUAUGGGUUGUAAACUUCUUUUAUAAAGGAAUAAAGUCGGGUAUGCAUACCCGUUUGCAUGUACUUUAUGAAUAAGGAUCGGCUAACUCCGUGCCAGCAGCCGCGGUAAUACGGAGGAUCCGAGCGUUAUCCGGAUUUAUUGGGUUUAAAGGGAGCGUAGAUGGAUGUUUAAGUCAGUUGUGAAAGUUUGCGGCUCAACCGUAAAAUUGCAGUUGAUACUGGAUAUCUUGAGUGCAGUUGAGGCAGGCGGAAUUCGUGGUGUAGCGGUGAAAUGCUUAGAUAUCACGAAGAACUCCGAUUGCGAAGGCAGCCUGCUAAGCUGCAACUGACAUUGAGGCUCGAAAGUGUGGGUAUCAAACAGGAUUAGAUACCCUGGUAGUCCACACGGUAAACGAUGAAUACUCGCUGUUUGCGAUAUACGGCAAGCGGCCAAGCGAAAGCGUUAAGUAUUCCACCUGGGGAGUACGCCGGCAACGGUGCAACUCAAAUGAAUUGACGG
RNAcentral lists this ribosomal RNA (921 nucleotides) under uncultured Bacteroidota bacterium. Its description in RNAcentral is "bacterial SSU rRNA". It matches the Rfam family "Bacterial small subunit ribosomal RNA", at positions 1 to 916 of the family's 1533-position model. Lineage: Bacteria; Pseudomonadati; Bacteroidota. The record is from RNAcentral.